Molecule: long non-coding RNA, 2747 nt
Filed under: Homo sapiens (human)
Lineage: Eukaryota; Metazoa; Chordata; Mammalia; Primates; Hominidae
Description: HSALNT0352471
Source: RNAcentral
AAAGUGCUGGGAUUACAGGCGUGAGCCACCGCACCUGGCCCAGACACUGUAAGUUUUGGGGAGGAUUAAAUGGGAUCAUCCAUGUAAAUGCGCCUAUCCCAGUCUCUAGCACACACUGAACACUCAAAAAUGGGAGGUUUUGGUAUUUCAGAAGAAAAUCAGGUGUCGGGGAGUGUUAGUAGUAACCUUGAACUAUAUGCAAAGACUAAAGCUAGGAAGAUAGGAAGAGUUUUACAAGAUCCUUUUGGCUAUAUAGUUAAAGUUAUUAGCAGUUAGAGUUUCCCUUACAGUUGACAAGUGAACCAUACAAGUGAAUGACUUGUGGUUCCUCAGAUAAAAGCACGAGUCAGAGUUGUAAUUUCUGUUUUGUGGACGUAAUUGUUGACCAAGUGCACUGAAGGUAGGGAUGGCCAGUAACAAAAUUAUAAAGCAGGCCUGUUUGUCUUCAAACACUCCUGAGUAAACUUGUCAUUUCCUUGUAAAAAUGCAAAAUAGACUACUGAGUAGAGGUGAUCAAUUACAGAAAUGCACUUACUUUGGCUUUCUUCUGAAACCUAAUAAAAUGACAGUAAAGGGAUUAUUUUUUUAAGGCAGAAACCCACAAUGAUGAUGAAAUUAGAAAGGAAGACAAGAACAACAAGGUUGUGGAAUUCAGAAGCCAUAUAGACAAGAGCUGGGAAAACGGCAAUGGAUUAAUAACAAGAAAUUAAUGGUGAAGUGGUGACGAAAAUUCUACAUUGCUUAGAAAGCAAGUAAGAAAAUCAGUGGUUGUAGAGAAGUUCUUACAUGAAGUAAUAAAAAUAAAAAUUGUUAUGUUAAGCAUUUUCUAUUUUCUUUUCCUCCCCUCCAAAUGAAACAGCAUACUAUUCUGCAUGUUUUUCUACCUAACAAUGUAUCUUUUUAAUGACUCUUGUAUUUUAAACCUAAAAUUUUGAUUAAGCUUCACUUAAUAUUAAAAAAGAUAGUAUAGGUCACGAUGUUAUUUGAUGCAAACGUUGGAAAGACAGAAUCUUCUUGAUCCAAGAGCUUUUAGAAUUCAAAGUCUGAUUCUGGUUAUUACUCUGCUCAUUUAAGAUAGUGAAAUGAACAUUUACAUUCUGGCAACCUCAGAAGUACAACGAACAAAGGACACCAGCCAGGUAGGGCAAAGGCCUGUGAACCCCCUUUUGCUGUUAAAUGUUUAUCAGAUGAGUGCUCUGUUUCUGUUAUAUUAUAUUGCUUUUCUCUCCAAUGUUUACUGAGGAAGAACAAGUAGCUCCUCAGGCAAGUCAACUGUUAACUUUGCAGUUUUUAUUUAAUCUCCCAGGAAUGUAACCCUUAACUUUAAAGAAUGUAGUGACCAUAAAACUUAUAAAGCAUGUUUCUUAAGGAAAUUGUACCUGUUUAUUUAAUCUAUCAGAUAUGAAUGUUAUAGAAAAUUAAAUUUGUCCACUUAAGCUGUAGAUGAACUUUUCACCUUUCUGAUCAGAAAUUCACCAUCUUAUAGUAUAGGUUCUGUUAUUAAUCAGAAUAUUUCAUUUAGACUCUUUCUAUCCAACUUUUUCUUAGAGGCUAUUCAAAAUAAAGGUGCUUCUAACAGUUUCAUAUCGAAAUACGAUGCAAAGCCUUGCUCUUCCAUGGUAUCCUUUGAGUGAGCCAAACUUAUUUAGCCAUUCCCCUAUAGUUAAAUAGCUAGGAUGUUUCCAACAUCUCACCUUUAAAACAAUAGUGCUAUGAAUGUCAUAAAUGUUUGUAUAUGUAAAUAUGUAGGAUAAAUCCCUAUCAGUAGAAUUUCAAAAGGUAUACGCAAUCAGUAUUUUCAUACAUAUUUAAAAUUUUCCAUCCAUACAAAGGUUGCUAACAUAUUUAUUUAAAAUUUUAAAAAUAAUUUUAUAUGCCUCUUGUAACCAGUAAUAGGAUGCAAAGUUUUUUUUAAGGUAACAUUGCUCCUCUUCCCCCAUUGUCUCUGUCAUCUAUAGUACUCCCUGAGGUAGUUCAUGUUAUUGCAAGGGUGUGUAUCAUCACAAACAUAUUGCUUCCACAUACAUAUAUCAGCAUACAUAUAUAUAUAUGUAUAGCAUAUAUAUAUAUGAGCACAUAUUAAUAUAUGCCCAUGCACAUACAAGCAUGUUUUUGUUAAUUUUUACUGAAAUGGAAUCAUACUGCAUACUUAUGAACAAAUUGCUUCUUUCACCUUAUAUCACUUAUAAUUGUUAUUCUACAAAUCAGUACAUAUAAAAAAUACAUAUUUACAUAUGUAAUACUCUAUCUUUCUGUUAUAAUUUUCUGCAUGCACAUGUAUGCAUAUACAUAUAUUCAUAAACAUAAAACUUAAUCUAAACGGGAUUUUUUUUGGGGGGGGUGAUAUGGUUUGGCUGUGUCCCCACCCAAAUCUCAUCUUGAAUUCCCAUGUGUUGUGGGGGGACCCGGUGGGAGGUAAUUGAAUUAUGGGGGCAGGUCUUUCCUGUGCUGUUCUCGGGAUAGUGAAAAAGUCUCACAAGAUCUGAUGGUUUUAAAAAGAUGAGUUUCCCUGCAUAAUCUCUCUUCUCCUGUCUGGUUCCAUGUGAGAUGUGCCUUUUGCCUUCCGCCAUGAUUGUGAGGCCUCCCCAGCCAUGUGGAACUGCCCAUAGGUGGAAGGGACUUGCCUUGUCUCAGAUGAGACUUUGGACUUUGGACUGUGGACUUUUGAGUUAACACUGAAAUGAAUUAAUGCUGAAAUGAAUUAAGACUUUGGGAGACGGUUGAGAAGCCAUGACUCAUUUUAAAAU